GUCCUUUAGGGUUGAUUUAAAGGUCUAGCCUGCCCAGUGAUUAUUUAAAUGGCCGCAGUAUAUUGACUGUGCGAAGGUAGCAUAAUCAUUAGUUUUUUAAUUGAAAGCUAGUAUGAAUGGUUGGACGAAAUAAUUACUGUCUCUAUUUAGAUAGUAGAAUUUAAUUUUUAAGUUAAAAAGCUUAAAUUGGAGUAAAAGACGAGAAGACCCUAUAGAUCUUUAUAUUAGGUUUUUAAUUUUAUUAAGUUAUUUAAUUGAUUAGGGGUGUUAAUAUUUUAUUGGGGUAAUAGGAAGAUUAAAAUAAUUCUUUUUUUAUGGUAACAAUAAUAAUUGAAUUGGUGAUCCGCUGGUUGUGAUUGUAAGAUUAAGUUACCUUAGGGAUAACAGCGUAAUUUUUUUGGAGAGUUCUUAUUUAUAAAAAAGUUUGCGACCUCGAUGUUGGAUUAAAAAUUAACCUAGGUGCAGAAGUUUGGGGGUUUGGUCUGUUCGACCAUUAAAUUUUU
RNAcentral lists this ribosomal RNA (503 nucleotides) under Methles sp. NHM-IR244. RNAcentral's name for it is "partial 16S ribosomal RNA". It matches the Rfam family "Bacterial large subunit ribosomal RNA", at positions 1829 to 2597 of the family's 2925-position model. Lineage: Eukaryota; Metazoa; Arthropoda; Insecta; Coleoptera; Dytiscidae. The record is from RNAcentral.